GGACCAUUCUUUUCUUUUAAAGACAAAGGAAGCCCUAACCCUAGCCACUUCCAAAUCAACCGCACGCUCCCUUUCUUCUCUCCCCUCACUCUAACCUCUCACCCUUCCUCUCUCUAAAUGGCGUCGCCGUCGCCGGUGGACGGCUGCUGCCGCCGCUCCACUACUCUCUCUACCCUUUCUCCACUCUUCUCUCUCCACCAGCAGCCAUGGCUGCCACUGCCGGAACAGCCGCCGCCCUUCUCUUUCCCUUGCCUCAACCGCCGCCGGUGACACGAGUGCCACACCAUCCUUUUCUCUCCCAAAUGCCGCCUCACCCCUUUUCCGGCAAAACUACGCUGGCGAAACCCCUUCGCUGCCAUCGCUAGGCUCGCCGGUCAGCGACCAGCCACUCCAUUCUCCGCAUCUCCACCACUCCGACCAGCAAUUAAGUUGUCCCGUCGCCUCUGUGCAACAGCUAAACCCCCAUAGCACCGCCUCCCUCAUGCUCCAGCAACACUGCCCUCUCCUCUCACCCGUUACGUCCUCAUCAGAGUUGAUGACCGACGAGGUUUUGAUGAACAACGAGGCUCUGGUGAACUUAUCUGCUAUUAUUGCCUGAUAUAAAUAAACAAUUAUGGGGUUUUGAAGAGUCGCCGAGGUGUUUACAUUAUAUUGUAGUAGUUCUAUUUAGUUUUAGUUUCUUAUUAUUUGGUUUGUAAUAUUAUUGUAUAAACAGUACUAUUAUUGUAAUAAUAAUAAUGGGGACUGCUCGGGGGCGGAAACUUACAUGCUCUGUGAAUAGUAUAGGUAGGCACAACUUAGGAUUUUACGUGUAUUACGUGCUAUAUGAAUCACCUAAUAUUCGAAGCA
Molecule: long non-coding RNA, 849 nt
Organism: Capsicum annuum
Lineage: Eukaryota; Viridiplantae; Streptophyta; Magnoliopsida; Solanales; Solanaceae
Exons: 2
Source: RefSeq, a predicted model, not a curated record